This 253-nucleotide ribosomal RNA is filed under the name uncultured bacterium. Its description in RNAcentral is "partial 16S ribosomal RNA". It matches the Rfam family "Bacterial small subunit ribosomal RNA", at positions 524 to 776 of the family's 1533-position model. The record is from RNAcentral.
UACGAAGGGGACUAGCGUUGUUCGGAAUUACUGGGCGUAAAGCGCACGUAGGCGGAUCUUUAAGUCAGGGGUGAAAUCCUGGAGCUCAACUCCAGAACUGCCUUUGAUACUGGGGAUCUCGAGUCCGGGAGAGGUGAGUGGAACUGCGAGUGUAGAGGUGAAAUUCGUAGAUAUUCGCAAGAACACCAGUGGCGAAGGCGGCUUACUGGUCCGGUUCUGACGCUGAGGCGCGAAAGCGUGGGGAGCAAACAGG